Molecule: ribosomal RNA, 408 nt
Filed under: uncultured bacterium
Lineage: Bacteria
Description: partial 16S ribosomal RNA
Rfam family: Bacterial small subunit ribosomal RNA
Source: RNAcentral
GACGAACGCUGGCGGCGUGCUUAACACAUGCAAGUCGAACGAAGUGGCGAACGGGUGAGUAACGCGUAAUCAACCUGCCCUUCAGCGGGGGACAACAGUUGGAAACGACUGCUAAUACCGCAUACUGAAGGAGGGGCUUGCGUCUGAUUCGCUAGUUGGAGGGGUAACGGCCCACCAAGGCGAUGAUCAGUCGCCGGUCUGAGAGGAUGAACGGAGACAGUGGGACUGGGAGACGGCCCAGAAUCCUACGGGGGGCAGCAGUGGGGAAUCUUCCGCAAUGGACGAAAGUCUGACGGAGCAACGCCGCGUGAGUGAUGACGGCCUUCGGGUUGUAAAGCUCUGUUAAUCGGGACGCGGUACCGGAAGAGAAAGCCACGGCUAACUACGUGCCAGCAGCCGCGGUAAUUC